AUUAAAGAUGGCGAUUCGUUUUUUCUGUCUCUUCUUGAUAUGUGGAGCGGUUAGGGCGGACUUUCCAGCGUUGGCCACUCGAGAUGAAGUUACAACUGAAGACGUCCACUCUCAACUGCUGAAACUACGCGAGGAUGUGAGACUUUUGAAAGAGAGUUAUCAUCAAGUCGUCGUCGAGGCAGCAGCACAGACACAGCAGCGAGACGAGAUAGGAAAA
Long non-coding RNA from Daphnia pulicaria, 217 nucleotides. RefSeq lists it as uncharacterized. The record is from RefSeq and is a predicted model, not a curated record. Lineage: Eukaryota; Metazoa; Arthropoda; Branchiopoda; Diplostraca; Daphniidae. The transcript is spliced from 2 exons.